GUUUGAUCCUGGCUCAGAUUGAACGCUGGCGGCAUGCCUUACACAUGCAAGUCGAACGGUAACAGGUCUUCGGAUGCUGACGAGUGGCGAACGGGUGAGUAAUACAUCGGAACGUGCCCGAUCGUGGGGGAUAACGAAGCGAAAGCUUUGCUAAUACCGCAUACGAUCUACGGAUGAAAGCAGGGGACCGCAAGGCCUUGCGCGAACGGAGCGGCCGAUGGCAGAUUAGGUAGUUGGUGGGAUAAAAGCUUACCAAGCCGACGAUCUGUAGCUGGUCUGAGAGGACGACCAGCCACACUGGGACUGAGACACGGCCCAGACUCC
Molecule: ribosomal RNA, 324 nt
Filed under: Acidovorax sp. R-26833
Lineage: Bacteria; Pseudomonadati; Pseudomonadota; Betaproteobacteria; Burkholderiales; Comamonadaceae
Description: bacterial SSU rRNA
Rfam family: Bacterial small subunit ribosomal RNA
Source: RNAcentral